ACUUUGGUUCGGAUCCGAAGUAAUGAUCAAAGAGACAGGCGGGGACGUUUGUAUGGCAGCGCUAGAGGUGAAAUUCAUGGACCGUAGCCAGACAAACUAAAGCGAAAGCAUUCGUUGAGCAUGUUUUCAUUGGCCAUGAGCGAAAGUCAGAGGCUCGAAGACGAUCAGAUACCGUCCUAGUUCUGACCAGAAACGAUGCCAACUGACGAUCCGUAGCGGUAGUCUUCAAACCUUCCCCACGGGCAGUCCCCGGGAAACCUUUAAGUCUUUGGGUUCCGGGGGAAGUAUGGUUGCAAAGCUGAAACUUAAAGGAAUUGACGGAAGGGCACCACCAGGAGUGGAUCCUGCGGCUUAAUACGAGUCAACACAGGGAAAUGCACCCGGGCCGGACACUAUGAGGAUUGACGCAUUGAUAGCUCUUUCUUGAUUUGGUGGUUGGUGGUGCAUGGCCGUUCUUAGUUGGUGGAGCGAUUUGUCUGGAUAAUUCCGAUAACUAACGAGACUCCAGCUCGCUAAUUAGUGCAUUUGUCCACUGCACCAGCCGAGCGGCGCAGUGUCAACUGCUUGGGUUCAGUGUGGGAUUCAGUGCGUUUGUGCAGUCUACAUAGGUGAGGCUGUUCUGCAGUUUCACUGUGUAUGGCUGUACGGCGUAUUUGGCCCGCAUGAUGUACUCGGGUGGAUGGCACCACGUUAGCUAGCAGGUGCGGCGCGAAUGCUUCCUUCUUAGAGGGACACGCGGGAGAAGCCGCACGAAAUAGAGCAAUAACAGGUUGAUGAUAGCGUUAGACGUCCGUGGGCAUCGUCGGCUACAAUGGCGGUGUCAACGAGUUAGACCUUCUGGCCUGAAAAGGUUGGGUAAACUGGUCAUGACACGCAUGACAAGGAUCGGGGCUUGGAUUGUCUCCCCGUGAACCAGGAAUUCCUAGUAAGUGCAAGUCAUAAACUUGCGCUGAUUACGUCCCUGCCCUUUGAACAUCACGCCCGUCGCUACUACCGAUUGAAUGGUUAGUA
RNAcentral lists this ribosomal RNA (1011 nucleotides) under Hymenolepis diminuta. RNAcentral's name for it is "SSU rRNA". It matches the Rfam family "Eukaryotic small subunit ribosomal RNA", at positions 843 to 1702 of the family's 1831-position model. The record is from RNAcentral. Lineage: Eukaryota; Metazoa; Platyhelminthes; Cestoda; Cyclophyllidea; Hymenolepididae.